AACUUCAAGAUAAGAUUUCCCACCGUAAGGGUAAGAUCCCAGGAAGACUACCUGGUUGAUAGGUCAAAGGUGUAAGUGCAGCAAUGUAUGUAGCUUAUUGAUACUAAUAGAUCGAGGACUUGACCAA
This 127-nucleotide ribosomal RNA is filed under the name Paraclostridium sordellii. RNAcentral's name for it is "partial 23S ribosomal RNA". It matches the Rfam family "Bacterial large subunit ribosomal RNA", at positions 2795 to 2925 of the family's 2925-position model. Lineage: Bacteria; Bacillati; Bacillota; Clostridia; Peptostreptococcales; Peptostreptococcaceae. The record is from RNAcentral.